This 476-nucleotide ribosomal RNA is filed under the name uncultured organism. RNAcentral's name for it is "partial 16S ribosomal RNA". It matches the Rfam family "Bacterial small subunit ribosomal RNA", at positions 334 to 801 of the family's 1533-position model. The record is from RNAcentral.
CACUCCUACGGGAGGCAGCAGUGGGGAAUUUUGGACCAUGGGCGAAAGCCUGAUCCAGCAAUGCCGCGUGAGUGAAGAAGGCCUUCGGGUUGUAAAGCUCUUUUGUCAGGGAAGAAACGGUGAAAGCUAAUAUCUUUUGCUAAUGACGGUACCUGAAGAAUAAGCACCGGCUAACUACGUGCCAGCAGCCGCGGUAAUACGUAGGGUGCAAGCGUUAAUCGGAAUUACUGGGCGUAAAGCGUGCGCAGGCGGUUUUGUAAGUCUGAUGUGAAAUCCCCGGGCUCAACCUGGGAAUUGCAUUGGAGACUGCAAGGCUAGAAUCUGGCAGAGGGGGGUAGAAUUCCACGUGUAGCAGUGAAAUGCGUAGAUAUGUGGAGGAACACCGAUGGCGAAGGCAGCCCCCUGGGUCAAGAUUGACGCUCAUGCACGAAAGCGUGGGGAGCAAACAGGAUUAGAAACCCCAGUAGUCCCAUGAU